RNAcentral lists this ribosomal RNA (253 nucleotides) under uncultured bacterium. Its description in RNAcentral is "partial 16S ribosomal RNA". It matches the Rfam family "Bacterial small subunit ribosomal RNA", at positions 524 to 776 of the family's 1533-position model. The record is from RNAcentral.
UACAGAGGGGGCAAGCGUUGUUCGGAAUUACUGGGCGUAAAGGGCGCGUAGGCGGCCUGCUAAGUCGAACGUGAAAUCCCCGAGCUCAACUCGGGAACUGCGUCCGAUACUGACAGGCUUGAAUCCGGGAGAGGGAUGCGGAAUUCCAGGUGUAGCGGUGAAAUGCGUAGAUAUCUGGAGGAACACCGGUGGCGAAGGCGGCAUCCUGGACCGGCAUUGACGCUGAGGCGCGAAAGCAUGGGGAGCGAACGGG